This 75-nucleotide transfer RNA is filed under the name Gammaproteobacteria bacterium. RNAcentral's name for it is "tRNA-Lys". It matches the Rfam family "tRNA". Rfam says of the family: Transfer RNA (tRNA) molecules are approximately 80 nucleotides in length. Their secondary structure includes four short double-helical elements and three loops (D, anti-codon, and T loops). RNAcentral also lists the same sequence under 1 other name. Lineage: Bacteria; Pseudomonadati; Pseudomonadota; Gammaproteobacteria. The record is from RNAcentral.
GGGCCGUUAGCUCAGCGGUAGAGCUGCAGACUUUUAAUCUGUAGGUCGAUGGUUCGAUCCCAUCACGGCCCACCA